GAUGAACGCUGGCGGCGUGCCUAAUACAUGCAAGUCGAGCGAACAGACGAGGAGCUUGCUCCUCUGACGUUAGCGGCGGACGGGUGAGUAACACGUGGAUAACCUACCUAUAAGACUGGGAUAACUUCGGGAAACCGGAGCUAAUACCGGAUAAUAUAUUGAACCGCAUGGUUCAAUAGUGGAAGACGGUUUUGCUGUCACUUAUAGAUGGAUCCGCGCCGCAUUAGCUAGUUGGUAAGGUAACGGCUUACCAAGGCAACGAUGCGUAGCCGACCUGAGAGGGUGAUCGGCCACACUGGAACUGAGACACGGUCCAGACUCCUACGGGAGGCAGCAGUAGGGAAUCUUCCGCAAUGGGCGAAAGCCUGACGGAGCAACGCCGCGUGAGUGAUGAAGGUCUUCGGAUCGUAAAACUCUGUUAUUAGGGAAGAACAAAUGUGUAAGUAACUAUGCACGUCCUGACGGUACCUAAUCAGAAAGCCACGGCUAACUACGUG
Molecule: ribosomal RNA, 497 nt
Filed under: uncultured bacterium
Lineage: Bacteria
Description: partial 16S ribosomal RNA
Rfam family: Bacterial small subunit ribosomal RNA
Source: RNAcentral